This 452-nucleotide ribosomal RNA is filed under the name uncultured bacterium. RNAcentral's name for it is "bacterial SSU rRNA". It matches the Rfam family "Bacterial small subunit ribosomal RNA", at positions 340 to 786 of the family's 1533-position model. The record is from RNAcentral.
UACGGAAGGCAGCAGUGGGGAAUAUUGCACAAUGGGCGCAAGCCUGAUGCAGCCAUGCCGCGUGUAUGAAGAAGGCCUUCGGGUUGUAAAGUACUUUCAGUCGUGAGGAAGGUGUUAAGGUUAAUAACCUUAGCAAUUGACGUUAGCGACAGAAGAAGCACCGGCUAACUCCGUGCCAGCAGCCGCGGUAAUACGGAGGGUGCGAGCGUUAAUCGGAAUUACUGGGCGUAAAGGGCACGCAGGCGGUUAAUUAAGUUGGAUGUGAAAUCCCCGGGCUUAACCUGGGAAUGGCAUUCAAGACUGGUUAGCUAGAGUCUUGUAGAGGGGGUAGAAUUCCAUGUGUAGCGGUGAAAUGCGUAGAGAUGUGGAGGAAUCCGGUGGCGAAGGCGGCCCCUGGACAAAGACUGACGCUCAUGUGCGAAAGCGUGGGGAGCAAACAGGGAUUAGAUACC